RNAcentral lists this ribosomal RNA (253 nucleotides) under uncultured bacterium. RNAcentral's name for it is "partial 16S ribosomal RNA". It matches the Rfam family "Bacterial small subunit ribosomal RNA", at positions 524 to 776 of the family's 1533-position model. The record is from RNAcentral.
UACGUAGGGGGCUAGCGUUGUCCGGAUUUAUUGGGCGUAAAGAGCGUGUAGGCGGCCUGGUAGGUCUGCUGUGAAAACUCGAGGCUCAACCUCGAGAUGUCGGCGGAAACCAUCUGGCUAGAGUCCGGAAGAGGAGAGUGGAAUUCCUGGUGUAGCGGUGAAAUGCGCAGAUAUCAGGAAGAACACCUAUGGCGAAGGCAGCUCUCUGGGCAUGAUCUGACGCUGAGGAGCGAAAGUGUGGGGAGCGAAUAGG